Molecule: transfer RNA, 68 nt
Filed under: Urocotyledon inexpectata
Lineage: Eukaryota; Metazoa; Chordata; Lepidosauria; Squamata; Gekkonidae
Description: tRNA-Ala
Source: RNAcentral
GAGGCCUUGGCUUANGUUAAAGUGUCUGAGUUGCAAUCAGGAGAUGUAUAUAAGGUUAUGCAGGUCUU